UGUGGGAGCGAGCCUGCUCGCGAUAGCUGUGGGUCAGUCAAUAUGGCUGCCACUGAUCCACCGCUAUCGCGAGCAGGCUCGCUCCCACA
This 89-nucleotide unclassified non-coding RNA is filed under the name Pseudomonas sp. A214. Lineage: Bacteria; Pseudomonadati; Pseudomonadota; Gammaproteobacteria; Pseudomonadales; Pseudomonadaceae. The record is from RNAcentral.